Molecule: long non-coding RNA, 1336 nt
Organism: Lucilia cuprina (Australian sheep blowfly)
Lineage: Eukaryota; Metazoa; Arthropoda; Insecta; Diptera; Calliphoridae
Exons: 3
Source: RefSeq, a predicted model, not a curated record
AAUUUUAGUUUAAAUAAAAAUAAAACGAAGAACUGCUAAAGGAAUAACAUUUAUCACCUUCAAAAGUAGUCCUACUUUUGGAUUUGGAUUUGUGGAAUUGACAUCCGAAGAAGCGAAAAGAAUCCAAUAUUGUUUAAAAUUAAAGCCAUCGUUUGGUUGCCAUCUUCGUUCAAAACAGUUAAGUUUGUUCGUUCAUUUGUUCAUGCGUCCUUUCAUACAGAAAAGCCGACAAGUCGUCAUACUAUCAAAAUCAUUUCAAAUGGAAAAUAUGGUAUUAACCAAAAUCGUUUGAAGUCGAUUUACACAUACAGGCACGUUUUUUUUCGUCUUCAGCUUUUUUUGGCUACGAAACUGGCGGCAUUAUUUUCCCCCCGAAAAAAACUAAAAACUAGAGUGUGGAAAAUAAGUUGAAUAUGGUGGUAAUAUGCGAGUGUAAAUUUGUGUAUAUUGGGUAAAAACAGGAUAUGGGUCGGGAGUAUGAUGAAAAUAAAACAAAAAAAAAAUUAACAAUAUGGAAAAAGUUAAGUACGUAGAAUGAACUAAUGAAUAUUCUUUAAGAAGAAACAAAUGGAGUUGGGUUGUUGUAGUCUAUUUAAUUUUUUUGUUUGUGUUCCCAACGACUAAUGCUACUGCUGUUUUUGUUAUAUUCAGCUUGCUGCUACCCCAAUCUGCCGCAACCACUUAUUUUAUUUGUGGUACUAGUACAAUUUCUAUCGUAAUUUUUUUAACGUACACAUAGUUGUCAUUAUAAUUUUAAGACGCAUACUUCGAUGGAAGUGAAAAAAAAAUAAAAUACGCAAGUAAAAAAUAGGCAGGAAGAUGUAUUCUGAGAACAAAAAAAAACAUAUUCGCUAUAAGUUCGAAGACAAGGAAAAAGUUUGUUAGCAAGAGGGGUCAGAAGUGCGACAAGUAAAGAGAAAAAAAAUACCAGCAAUUUACCACAUAAGUUCAUAAGAAAGGAAUAUAACAACGAAAACCAAAAAAGCAAAAAACAUACCGAGCCGCUACGUCUACAAAUGGGUUUUUUAUGAAAACAGUGGAACAACACAGAAACACACAUUUGAUGACGAUAAGCAAAGUGCGGAUAUAUGGAAAGGGAGUUCUUCUAAUGGUAUACGGAACAGGCUCAAUGGAAAAAGCACAUUAUUAUUAGAACUAUAAAUCAGCAUGAAAUGAGUGAACAAAAGAAAGUACCAAUGACUACUAGAGCACAGCAGAGUAAGUAUAUUUGUAUGUAGUUGUCGUCGUUGUUCCGAAUGUAUUGUUUAUAAACAGUAAUGGACUAUUAAUGGCCCUUAGGUUAGCAUUUGUUGCACUUUCAGAACAUGUUACAUUU